GCCUACGGGGCGCAGCAGUGGGGAAUAUUGCGCAAUGGGCGAAAGCCUGACGCAGCAACGCCGCGUGCUGGAUGACGGCCUUCGGGUUGUAAACCGCUUUCAGCAGGGACGAAGGGUUACCUUGACGGUACCUGCAGAAGAAGCACCGGCUAACUACGUGCCAGCAGCCGCGGUGAUACGUAGGGUGCGAGCGUUGUCCGGAAUUAUUGGGCGUAAAGAGCUUGUAGGCGGUUUGUUGCGUCGGAAGUGAAAACUCAGGGCUUAACCCUGAGCCUGCUUUCGAUACGGGCAGACUUGAGGGAUGUAGGGGAGAACGGAAUUCCUGGUGGAGCGGUGGAAUGCGCAGAUAUCAGGAGGAACACCAGUGGCGAAGGCGGUUCUCUGGACAUUUCCUGACGCUGAGAAGCGAAAGCGUGGGGAGCAAACAGGAUUAGAUACCCGCGUAC
Molecule: ribosomal RNA, 446 nt
Filed under: uncultured bacterium
Lineage: Bacteria
Description: bacterial SSU rRNA
Rfam family: Bacterial small subunit ribosomal RNA
Source: RNAcentral